This 429-nucleotide ribosomal RNA is filed under the name Chloroflexota bacterium. Its description in RNAcentral is "Chloroflexi bacterium partial 16S ribosomal RNA". It matches the Rfam family "Bacterial small subunit ribosomal RNA", at positions 355 to 776 of the family's 1533-position model. Lineage: Bacteria; Bacillati; Chloroflexota. The record is from RNAcentral.
UGGGGAAUAUUGCACAAUGGGCGCAAGCCUGAUGCAGCCAUGCCGCGUGUGUGAAGAAGGCCUUCGGGUUGUAAAGCACUUUCAGCGGGGAGGAAGGCGUUAAGGUUAAUAACCUUGGCGAUUGACGUUACCCGCAGAAGAAGCACCGGCUAACUCCGUGCCAGCAGCCGCGGUAAUACGGAGGGUGCAAGCGUUAAUCGGAAUUACUGGGCGUAAAGCGCACGCAGGCGGUCUGUCAAGUCGGAUGUGAAAUCCCCGGGCUCAACCUGGGAACUGCAUUCGAAACUGGCAGGCUAGAGUCUAGUAGAGGGGGGUAGAAUUCCAGGUGUAGCGGUGAAAUGCGUAGAGAUCUGGAGGAAUACCGGUGGCGAAGGCGGCCCCCUGGACAAAGACUGACGCUCAGGUGCGAAAGCGUGGGGAGCAAACAGG